RNAcentral lists this ribosomal RNA (468 nucleotides) under uncultured bacterium. RNAcentral describes it as "partial 16S ribosomal RNA". It matches the Rfam family "Bacterial small subunit ribosomal RNA", at positions 28 to 507 of the family's 1533-position model. The record is from RNAcentral.
GACGAACGCUGGCGGCGUGCUUAACACAUGCAAGUCGAACGGAAAGGCCCUGCGUUUGUGGGGUGCUCGAGUGGCGAACGGGUGAGUAACACGUGAGUAACCUGCCCUUGACUUUGGGAUAACUUCAGGAAACUGGGGCUAAUACCGGAUAGGAGCUCCUGCUGCAUGGGGGGGGUUGGAAAGUUUCGGCGGUUGGGGAUGGACUCGCGGCUUAUCAGCUUGUUGGUGGGGUAGGUGCUUACCAAGGCUUUGACGGGUAGCCGGCCUGAGAGGGUGACCGGCCACCUUGGGCCUGAGAUACGGCCCAGUCUCCUACGGGACGCAGCAGUGGGGAAUCUUGCACAACGGGCGGGCGCCUGAUGCAGCAACGCCGCGUGCGUGAUGCCGGCCUUCGGGUUGUAAACCGCUUUCGCCUGUGCCGAAGCGUGAGUGACGGUAAUGGGUAAAGAAGCACCGGCUAACUACGUG